Molecule: long non-coding RNA, 1484 nt
Organism: Salvia miltiorrhiza (redroot sage)
Lineage: Eukaryota; Viridiplantae; Streptophyta; Magnoliopsida; Lamiales; Lamiaceae
Exons: 3
Source: RefSeq, a predicted model, not a curated record
CACAUCCCACGAAAGUGACGAAACCCUAUAAUAUUUUCUCUCUCCCACGAUUUUUCUGUUUAAUUGAUAUCAAACUUUCUCCCGUCUCCAUAUUCAUUUUUGAUCUCUACUUUGAAAUCUACUCCAUUAAUUCUGCAGAAACCGAAUUACAAAAAAGAAAUCGUCAAAACUUCAUAACCCUUUUCCUCACCCUUUCUCAUCGUCUUAUUUCACCACUGCCUCGAUUCACCCCCCUUCUAACUCUGCUCGAUGUUUGCUCAUGAAAGUAUAAUGAAAACUCAGCCACCAUUCGCUGAGAUUAGGGAGAGAGAAGACGAGGAUCAGGCGAAGAUGAAAGUAUCAGAUAAGAGGGAGUUGUCAGGUCGCGGAUUUGUUGUUGUCGACGGUGGAUUGGUGGCUGCGACACCGAUUUUCAGCAGCAACUAAUAGCCGGAAAUUUAGAAGUGAAAGGGAAGAAAUCUGAGAGAAUGGUUAUUUGUUCAACGCGAUUGAGAGAAAAAGAGAAACGAUAGAUAUAUGAGAAAAGAGAUUUCUCCCCCGCCUAUUAUCAGCAACCUAAUUACAAAAGAAUAUACCCAAACUUCGAACCUUUUUCCUCACCCAAUUCUCCUCUUUUGCCAAUUCUACCACCACAUGGGUGACCCAUUCUCUGACGGAGACUCAGCUGUCAUUUGCUCAUCAAACUCUAAUGGAGAUGCAAUCGCCGCCUUUGCCGCGCCGCCUCGAACAAACGUCGCCCAAAACUCAGGCUGGCAUGUGGCCUCGCGCCGCCUCCAAAGCGCAAGAGCAAACCUAGCAACUUGGAGCAAUUUUAUUUUUCAGAAAUCGCGAUGGUUCCUGGGCAGCUGAUAUGGGAGAUCGCAAGAAGACCAAUUCGCUUAUGGUGAAGCAGUUCGGGAAUGGAACCACGAGUGUGAAUUCAGCAAGGAGCCUAACAAUCUCUAUAACUUGCACUCCUACAAGCACUCUGACAAUUCAUUGAUAUUGAUUUAAAUGGAUCUCCAAUAACUGGACUGUCAAAGCCCUAUGUAAAAAGACCACAAGAACCAGAUGCAUGGCAUGACGUAUCUCUGCCAUGUGACAGCAGAUUCAUAACCAAGUACAUAGAAGGUUUAGUCGUUUCCCUUCCGUACAUUUAUUUAUUUUUGUUUUGAUUUUCAAUGCAUGAGAUUUAUGCUUAUUAAUUUUUUAGGUCUCGAGGCUACACCAAGGAAGAAGGCAACAUCUACCUCUACUUAAAGUUGAGAACAUAUAUGGUCGUACUUAUCUUUAUUGCAAUCUUGGGAGUGAUAGAGGCAAUUCAAUUUUCGGGAUUUUCAUUUUAACAUUUUUAUCCAAAUAAUUGUUAAAUUUUGUUGUUUCUUCUCACAAGUAUUUUGAUACAUAUGGAUCAAAGACCCAGGUCUUCCUCCCGAUAUUGAAUACUCGAUUUCUCUCUCAGCUAUGAUUGGCAUGAAACAAGAGAAACAAGUUAUUGAUGUUUU